This 3013-nucleotide long non-coding RNA is filed under the name Manacus vitellinus (golden-collared manakin). RNAcentral describes it as "lncRNA (ENSMVIG00005003587.1)". The record is from RNAcentral. Lineage: Eukaryota; Metazoa; Chordata; Aves; Passeriformes; Pipridae.
UGGGGUCUGCAGAAAGCAGGAACACUCCUGCAGCCUUCAUGCCACUUUCCUUGGAACAAAGUAUUGGGGCACCCAGGAGGGUGCACAAGGAAAGCAGCCAUUUACUGGUACUGUUAUUUGCACUGUGAUUUGGUACCUGGCUGGUCUGGGAAUUCUGGCACCAAGGACCAGACAGUGGUUUGGACUUCUUUUAGUUAGUUAGGGAAAAAAAAGCCAACCAAGGCUGUGUGGAAGGCAGUUUCUGAGCAAAGGAAUCAUGAGCACCUGCUCCGGCUCUGUCCUCCCUUCUCCUACCACGCUGGCUGUGACUGCACAGGCAUCUGAUGGAGCUGGCAUCUCAUGUUUUAGAGAAUAAACCCAAGUAAAGGAGGAGGUCCUGAGUGCUGAGAUGGUUACCUAGUCCCUUCCCACAUCUUGAAGCAGAUUUAGUGUUCCCCAAAGCAUUCAGCAGGAAGAGAACCUGGUGCCAGGCACGGGAUUGGCAGGCGAACUGUGGGCAGCCAAGGAACCUCUGCACAAGCAGAAUCAUGCAACACCUGAUCCAAAGCCCAAAGCAGCCAUCGUCUCCAACACGCUUCGAACACGCUUGCUCACUCAACACCAGAGAUCAUGCAAAGCCAUCUGGUCUCCAGAGAAGCUCCUGUCCCACCUCACCACUGCCUGCUGCUCCCAUCCCUGCUUGUCCCAGCAGAGAAACCCUGAUCCCACAGCGCUUCUGGGACUGACUGUGCCAAGUUGCCCCUCCCAGUUUCUCCCUGCUGCGAUUUAACUCAGAUAAAUUUUUCUGUUUUCCACAGCCUUUUCUGAGGGAAUUCUCUAAAAGGGAUGAUGCAGUGCACAAUUCUUGACAUCUUGCUUUGCCCAAAUCCAUUUGACAUGGCCACCCAUUGCGUCUGUACUCACUUCAAGAGUGAGCUGUUCUGAUUGGGUUCCUCCUCUUUGCAGAGGAGAUGUUUUCUCUGUGCUCUCCGCUGUGAAUUAUCUAGCAGGAAGGUCAGCCAAUUCCUCCCAAAGAUACAAGAGAAACCAAAGACCGGUCUGGGGUCUUUGGUAACAUUGCUUUCCCUCUAAUACUCCUUUCUUCCUUUUUGCAUCCUCUCUCUUCUGUCCACCACAUUUUACCCUUUCCAAACCUCCAAAACAUGAGGCUGAUAACAAUCAGCCCAAGGCAAAGCACGAGCAGAGGCAGCUGAUCUUCACCAGUCUGCAUUUUUGAUCUAGAAUGACUUUUGACUUUAAGGGUGACAUCCUCCCCAUGUCUCCUUUACUAGGCGUGCUUCAGGACACUGGAAUUGCAGUACAUGCCAGUCACAGAGAUUUACAGCUCAGUAAGUUUAACCUUAGAUUCUUUGAAUAACGUGCACACAUCUUACUAAAACUGGUGCAUUCAAUGAAGGCUUGACAUAUCAUCUAAUGCAGCUGUAUUUAAAAAAACCCUGUCCCUUCAACCAUAAUAGCCCAGGCAUACAUUGUAACUCUAACCACAUGUCAUAGCCCAGUGCUGUCCCUUAACUGUAAACCUCCCAUCUGCAGAUCUGCAGCGUCUUCAGGGUUGGGUUUGUUUCUGACUAAGAGCUUGAACAACAAAUGUAGGAUAGGAGGAUAAUGCAUGGAUUGCAGACCUAGAGAGGCACAGGCACUUAGCACCAACCUGUCCACCCUGAGUUUGCUUCAGAAUGUGCCAGAUAAGACACGUGUUGACUAGAAAAUAUUUAUUGCUACUGCUGGCCCUAACUGACUAAGUGUAAAAAAGCCUGCUUUCCUCUUCAUUGAGCUCUGGUAGCCUCACUGAAGAGGGCUCAUCCUGGCAAAGGGCCGGGACUUUACCUGCUGUAGACAGUCAUGACAUUUUGGUCUUCCAAAUGGUGGAAGAAAAAGUCACAUUCAUUGCUGCUGUACCUUCCAAAACCCAGCCCUGCCUUGGCAAGGCUGAACUCACCAGAGAGUACAGAGUCACAAGAUGUUUGCAAAUGUAUGUGAUUCAUCCAGUUUGCACAAGCAUUUGCACAUCAAGAGUGAUAACAUGCAAGAUCAGCCUGAUCCCUAAGAGCUAACAUGGAGAUCUGUGCCCCACACAAAACUUUUACAACCAAGGCUAAGGCUUUUCCCCAGAGUGGCACACCACAUGCUUCUGGACACUGGCAUGCACCUAAUCUGUGCACCUUGCCAAAACAUGGUGAGUCAAAUGAGUUUGAGACUCUGUGAAGCCCAGGGAGAGGUUCAAACUUGAGGACAUGGGAGACAGCCCAAAGGCAGCUCUGACUCCUGCCAUUUCCAAACUCCUCAUCCAAAGCAGAGUUCAUCCUGAUGCUUUGCCAUCUGAUGCACAUUAAGAGGAGAAAUUCGAUACCGGUGUUGCCCUGGACUUGCACAGGAUGCUCAGGAUUUUAUGCUACAGCACUUGUAAUUUCAACCAUCCAAAGACCAGCCCACAAAGUGACUGGAUUCUAUUAAAAUAAGAUUAAACAAUAAUAAGAAGUUUUUAGAAGAGCCAGGAUGAAGAUGAACACAUUUGGAAAUCUUAGACAGCGUGAAUUGUAUCCAUAGCCCUGGAACAGCAGGAAUCAGGAGGAACUCCUCCAAUGAGACACAGUGAUAACAACCUGAUGCAAUUCAGCUCUAAGGUAGGACUGAUGUUUGGGGACUGGCGAAACCAGACCCUUUGUUUCUAAGCGAUGACAGCUCUGAAGUUUUAAUGUUUGUAGAGAGAUGUUUUUGCCAAAUAUGAUACACAGUGAUUAAAAUAAUGAGCUGGAACAAGCUGAAGCUAUAAUUGCUCCUUUUCCUCCCCUCCCCUGAGUUGGUCUGAGUGCUUCGUUAACUACCUUGAUGAACCAAUCAAGAGUUGGCUAAAUCAGGGAAGGAGCAAACAAACCCUAGGAGACAUCCCUACAAGAAAAAGCAUAAUCUGGACACUGAGCUUUGAAGGCAAGCUGUAUAAUGAGAGCUGACUAUAUCUCAAAAUCCAUGUUAGCUUGAAUGAACUUAUGUAAUAAACAUUUAUCACAGAACA